AGUCAUACGCUCGUCUCAAAGAUUAAGCCAUGCAUGUGUAAGUAUAAAUAUUUAACUUUGAAACUGCGAAUGGCUCAUUAUAUCAGUUAUAGUUUAUUUGAUGAAAAGUACUACUUGGAUAACCGUAGUAAUUCUAGAGCUAAUACAUGAUAAAAUCCUCGACUUUGAAGAGGUGUAUUUAUUAGAAUGAAACCAAUAGACUUCGGUCUGUUUGUGAGUAAUAAUAACUAAUCGUAUCGCAUGCUUAGGUAGCGAUAUGUCUUUCAAGUUUCUGCCCUAUCAGCUUUGGAUGGUAGUGUAUUGGACUACCAUGGCAGUAACGGGUAACGAAGAAUUUGGGUUCGAUUUCGGAGAGGGAGCCUGAGAGAUGGCUACCACAUCCAAGGAAGGCAGCAGGCGCGUAAAUUACCCAAUCCUGACAUAGGGAGGUAGUGACAAUAAAUCACAAUGCGGAACUAUUAGUUUUGCAAUUGGAUUGAGAACAAUGUACAAAUGUUAUCGAUAAACAAUUGGAGGGCAAGUCUGGUGCCAGCAGCCGCGGUAAUUCCAGCUCC
RNAcentral lists this ribosomal RNA (554 nucleotides) under Blastocystis hominis. RNAcentral's name for it is "SSU rRNA". It matches the Rfam family "Eukaryotic small subunit ribosomal RNA", at positions 22 to 592 of the family's 1831-position model. Lineage: Eukaryota; Bigyra; Opalinata; Blastocystidae. The record is from RNAcentral.